AAGGUUAUAGCUCAGUGGUAGAGUGCUUGCUUGGCAUUCAAGAGGUCCUGGGUUUAAUCCAGUACCUCCA
RNAcentral lists this transfer RNA (70 nucleotides) under Camelus bactrianus (Bactrian camel). It matches the Rfam family "tRNA". From Rfam's summary of the family: Transfer RNA (tRNA) molecules are approximately 80 nucleotides in length. Lineage: Eukaryota; Metazoa; Chordata; Mammalia; Artiodactyla; Camelidae. The record is from Rfam by way of RNAcentral. RNAcentral also lists the same sequence under 2 other names.